Molecule: ribosomal RNA, 221 nt
Filed under: Campeiostachys nutans
Lineage: Eukaryota; Viridiplantae; Streptophyta; Magnoliopsida; Poales; Poaceae
Description: Elymus nutans partial small subunit ribosomal RNA
Rfam family: Eukaryotic small subunit ribosomal RNA
Source: RNAcentral
GGAUUGACGUGACGGUCGUGCCUUAAGGGGUAUGAACUGUCGCAGUUGAUUUCUCACCUUCUGGAGAAGCACGAUGUCCUUAAUUGGGUGUCAUGUGGAGCCAGGACCUUUACCUUGAAAAAAUUAGAGUAUUUAAAGCAGGCAUUUUGCUUGAAUACAUUAGCAUGGAAUAAUAGAAUAGGAUGGCAUGGUUCUAUUUUGUUGGUUUCUAGGAUCACGUA